AAUCAUCAAGCCCCCGGAUUCGCGUCUGGAGGUUUGGACUUGGGGGUCUUUGCUGCCUUCUCGGCGGCUCCCCUUAAAUGCAUCGGUUGCGGCCCGUACGGCUUCAGUCCUAGGCGUUGUAUUGCCCUCGCCCUGUGUCUUGUCGGCAGUGCCCUUCCCCGACCGCCUUUGGAGCGGCGGUCAAUACUUAAUUGAA
This 196-nucleotide unclassified non-coding RNA is filed under the name uncultured Agaricomycetes. RNAcentral describes it as "sequence contains ITS2". The record is from RNAcentral. Lineage: Eukaryota; Fungi; Basidiomycota; Agaricomycetes.